UCGUGCGAGAAAGUAUCUUCGGAUAUGAGUAGAGCGGCGGACGGGUGAGUAACGCGUAGGAAUCUACCUAGUAGAAGGGGAUAGCCCGAGAAAACUCGGAUUAAUACCGUAUACCUCCUUCGGGAGAAAGAAGGCCUCUCUUUGAAGCUUUCGCUACUAGAUGAGCCUGCGUAAGAUUAGCUUGUUGGUGAGGUAAAGGCUCACCAAGGCUACGAUCUUUAGCGGGUCUGAGAGGACGAUCCGCCACAUUGGGACUGAGACACGGCCCAGACUCCUACGGGAGGCAGCAGUGGGGAAUAUUGGACAAUGGGCGAAAGCCUGAUCCAGCCAUACCGCGUGUGUGAAGAAGGCCCUAGGGUUGUAAAGCACUUUAAGUUGGGAAGAAAAGUUAUUGGUUAAUACCCAAUGACCGUGACAUUACCAUCAGAAUAAGGACCGGCUAAUUCCGUGCCAGCAGCCGCGGUAAUACGGAAGGUCCAAGCGUUAAUCGGAAUUACUGGGCGUAAAGCGCGCGUAGGUGGUUUAUUAAGUUGGGUGUGAAAUCCCCGGGCUCAACCUGGGAACUGCAUCCAAAACUGAUUCACUAGAGUACGAUAGAGGGAGGUAGAAUUCACAGUGUAGCGGUGGAAUGCGUAGAUAUUGUGAAGAAUACCAAUGGCGAAGGCAGCCUCCUGGAUCUGUACUGACACUGAGGUGCGAAAGCGUGGGUAGCGAACAGGAUUAGAUACCCUGGUAGUCCACGCCGUAAACGAUGUCAACUAUCUGUUGGAAAGCAUUGCUUUUCAGUGGAGCAGCUAACGUAAUAAGUUGACCGCUG
Molecule: ribosomal RNA, 817 nt
Filed under: uncultured Gammaproteobacteria bacterium
Lineage: Bacteria; Pseudomonadati; Pseudomonadota; Gammaproteobacteria
Description: bacterial SSU rRNA
Rfam family: Bacterial small subunit ribosomal RNA
Source: RNAcentral